Molecule: unclassified non-coding RNA, 2434 nt
Filed under: Zea mays
Lineage: Eukaryota; Viridiplantae; Streptophyta; Magnoliopsida; Poales; Poaceae
Description: misc RNA Zm00001eb288840
Source: RNAcentral
AGAAACUAGAAGCAGGGGAAACCCACUCGUCUUGUUGGCCUCUCCCCACUGCCCAGUGCCCACACAUAUAUAACGGGCCGGCGCAUCCACUCGAAACUCGAUCUCCACUGACAAACGAAGCUCUCCUCGCCGCACUCGCGCCUGCUCGACCGCUCCAACAAGACCCUCUCGCGCCACCGCAGCAGCGUCGUCGUCGCUACGCGGAUGCUGUCUUCUCACCGCGAGAGCCUGCUGCCCUACGCGCCGGGGCGGCGGGCGGCGGUGCUGCUCGACCACCGGCGGUACCGCCCGAACGUCGAGGUGGCGCCCAGCUGCCCGCGCUGCGACUCGCCCAACACCAAGUUCUGCUACUACAACAACUACAGCCUCAGCCAGCCCCGCUACUUCUGCAAGGGCUGCCGCCGCUACUGGACCAAGGGCGGCUCCCUCCGCAACGUGCCCGUCGGCGGCGGGUGCCGGAAGAACCGCAGCAGGGGCAAGCCGGUCCGAGCCGUGGCCGUCGAUUCCGUGGCGCCCAGCAGCGGUGGCGCGGCGGCGUUCACGCACCGGGCGUCGGCGUCGUCGUCGUCGGCGUCCCCCGCCACGCUGCGGCCGGACAUGCUACUGGAAGGCAUGCUCGGCAGCCCAAGCGAGCUGUGCCAGCUGACGGUGACGGACGACGACGCAGCGGAAAACCCGGCUGUGGCGCCCGAUGGACCCAGGAUCGACCUGGCGUUGCUGUACGCCAAGUUCUUGAACCAACAGCCGCCGGCGCCCGAGCGGCGCGCCGUCCUGCCGGAAUCGCUCGUCGUCGACACCUUGAGCGGGUCGUCGUCGAGCGACGUGGGUCCCGUCGUCCCAUCGCGGGAUCAUCAGCCGUUCACGACGCAAGACGACGGGCUGGGCGAGCUGUCCGCGGCGGCGAGCGCAGAGCCGAGCGCUCCUCCGCCACAGUCGUCGUCGUGUGCGGAGGCGCUUAUUGGGGCGUUCGGCAUGGACCAGCGCUGCUACGACUCUCUGGGUUUGCCACCAGACGGCGGGGAUCUAGUCCUACCGUCGACGUGGCCUCUUCUUGGGGCCAAGUACGAGCUGUUCGAUCCGCUACCUGAGGACGCCGUGAGCCUUCAGGACGGCUUCGCCGGCGACGAGGACGUGUGGAGCGGCGCCUUGGCUUGUCAAGGGCUGGAAGCAGCUCUCUGCAGGCCGUAAUUUUUUUUAACUCGCCUCUUGAUUUUCACCGUGCUUGUGAUUGUUUUAUGCGCUCUUUUCUUUUUCCUGGUUGUGAUCGUGUUCAGGAGUAAUUUAUAUAGAGACCAUAUAUACAGCAUGUCCAGAUCAUGCAUUAUGAUGGAUCAACGGGUAUACAUGUGAGAUAUAGAAAGAACUUAAUAAAAUUUUGACAUUUUGUUUGACAAUUUCCCUGUCCCUUUUUCUUCCCGCGAAAAGACACUCUGUUCCUUCUUUUUUUUUUCUUUUUUGCUUUGUUUUUUGCGAAAAGACACUUUGCCUGUUCGCAGAUGUAAGAUAUUUUGGACAUGGUCAUGUGACUAGCUCUCUUUUGUUGAAUUUUUUUAACAAAACCUUACAUUACUCGAUUAUGAAACUAUUAUUCGUAACGAAUUCAACGAUGUUGUAUCCAUGUGGCCAAUCUAGAUUGAUUUAGAGCAUAUUCAACAAAGUGACUCAAACUAGUGCCCAAAAUUUUUUAAAAAACUACAACAUAUAACAUGUUUAGGGCACUAAAAACAAGUUGAGCUCCAACAGUAAACCAUAAAUCAUGUAUUUCAGAAAAUAAACUAUACUUUUAGAAAAGAAAAUGUUAAGAACAAUGUAGAAAAUAAGGAUAUGACACUAAUUUGAGGUGUAGUAUAUUUGGGUCACUUUAUGGUGUGCUUUAUAAUUUUUUUGGUAAAAAUGCAAAAUAUGGCACCGUUGAAGUUAUUUUUUAUGAGUUGAGACUUAUAUUUAAAGUUAGGAGACUCAUUUAAGACACUAUUUAUGCAACCUAUAGUAAAAACAAGACAACUACAAACUUGAAGCGAUAUGCGCUUUCAACUGAUCGUUCCAUCUAAUCUACUAUCUAUCAAUGGUAUAAUGUCAUAUUCAUAAUAUUUAUGAUUCUUUUCCACUUCGAUCGAAUACCAUAUUUAAGAAGUCCCUCGGCAAAAAAAUUGUAACGUGAGCCCGACCAGGAUUAUGUGUCAACAACUACUCACCUUGUGUAUCGCUAUGCACUAUACAAGUGUAACACUAGAAUGGAGAACCAACUUCUUUGGUAUAUUUAUCAUCUCCCACACCCUUCAAAUGACUUGUUGUGGUAGUAUUUAUAGUAUCUAAGUCCAAAACUAGGCGUUGUCAAAAGUGCAGCAAUUUGUGUAUUCAUCAGACAUGUUAGGUGAUGACAUCGGACAUCAUAUUGGACUUGUGACAACUCGAUCAAUGAAAUUUGACCAUU